CAAUAGCGUAUAUUAAAGUUGUUGCGGUAAAAAAGCUCGUAGUUGGAUUUCUACCGAAGAUAGCCGGUCGGGUCUUCGACCUUGUAUCUGGUUUUGUCUUUGGUAUCCUCAUAGGGAACGUUUCAGCGCUUUAUUGCGUGGUGCGGUAUCUAUGACUUUUACUUUGAGGAAAUUAGAGUGUUCACGGCAGGCAAACGCCUUGAAUAUAUUAGCAUGGAAUAAUAACAUAGGAUCUUCGUCCUAUUUUGUUGGUUUCUAGGGCUAAGAUAAUGAUUAAUAGGGAUAAUUGGGGGCAUCUGUAUCAACGCGUCAGAGGUGGAAUUCUUGGAUUGCGUUGCGACAAACUACUGCGAAAGCAUUUGCCAAGGAUGUUUUCAUUGA
Molecule: ribosomal RNA, 381 nt
Filed under: uncultured eukaryote
Lineage: Eukaryota
Description: partial 18S ribosomal RNA
Rfam family: Eukaryotic small subunit ribosomal RNA
Source: RNAcentral